AAGAGUUGCAAAACUCCAACCCCUGUGAACCUUACCUGUACGUUGCUUCGGCGGCCGACGCCACGCCCGGCCGGGCCUGGGGGACGCCGCCGGAGGUCUUAAACCCUGAAUUCUAGUGUAUCUCUGAGGAUGAAAAGAACCAAUCA
Molecule: unclassified non-coding RNA, 146 nt
Filed under: uncultured Ascomycota
Lineage: Eukaryota; Fungi; Ascomycota
Description: sequence contains ITS1
Source: RNAcentral